Molecule: long non-coding RNA, 583 nt
Organism: Corapipo altera (White-ruffed manakin)
Lineage: Eukaryota; Metazoa; Chordata; Aves; Passeriformes; Pipridae
Exons: 3
Source: RefSeq, a predicted model, not a curated record
GGGUAAAUCUGGGCCUUUCCUUGGUUGCAAACUGGUCACCAAGGAAGGCCUAGACCACAUAGUCCAGUCAAAUAAAAUACCAUUGCUGGGGCUAAAAUAUAUAGUGAGAGGGGUUCCUGAAGGUUUUCUGGGAACACUGACAACUCUUGAGUGAGAAGAACCUAAGAUCGGUCUCCUCCACCUUCUCAAAGGACAUCAAGCCUCAAGACGCUUAGGAUCCUCUGUGCCAUUGCUUCCUGCUUUGAAUGAGAAUGCAAGCACUCCUACCAGCCUCACCUAUAUGAUGGCUCGCUGCCCGGAGAAACUGCCAGGGAGCCGAGCCCAUGGAGACAAAGGCACACGACAAACCCCAACAGAGCUCCAGAGCUGCUGGAAGAGGAGAAUCUGAUCUAUUGACUUGUUCCCAAAAUAGUACCAAGUGGGAGGUGACUGACUGGCUAAUACCUGUGGUGCUUCCAUUACUGAAUGAGAUGAAGUCUGUUGCCAGGAAUCCUGGGGUGGUUUCCUUGACAACCAGAAGAAAUGCACAACUGCGAUGCACAUGACUUUUCAGGUGCUUUUUUAACUCCCCUGAAACAAUGAG